This 217-nucleotide long non-coding RNA is filed under the name Elaeis guineensis (African oil palm). RNAcentral describes it as "long non-coding RNA (EGUI_LNC074563)". The record is from RNAcentral. Lineage: Eukaryota; Viridiplantae; Streptophyta; Magnoliopsida; Arecales; Arecaceae.
GCUUGCAAGAAAGGCCUUUGUCUGAAAUUAUCUAUACUGGAUAUUAAAUGUAUCGAUUAAGGCUUAGCUAGCAGUUGAAGAGAGAUUACUUUCGAGCCAUUUGAAGACCCUUCCAGGAAUCUGAAAUUUUCUGAUGAAAGUGUACAUUACAUGGAUAGCUUUAUGUGAAGCAUGCGAUGUACCAUUCGGUCACAUGAACAACAUAAAAAUGCAGGGG